RNAcentral lists this ribosomal RNA (457 nucleotides) under uncultured bacterium. RNAcentral's name for it is "bacterial SSU rRNA". It matches the Rfam family "Bacterial small subunit ribosomal RNA", at positions 29 to 533 of the family's 1533-position model. The record is from RNAcentral.
AACGAACGCUGGCGGCAGGCCUAACACAUGCAAGUCGAGCGAGGUAGCAAUACCUAGCGGCGGACGGGUGAGUAACGCGUGGGAACGUACCCUUUGCUACGGAAUAGCCCCGGGAAACUGGGAGUAAUACCGUAUGUGCCCUUCGGGGAAGAUUUAUCGGCAAAGGAUCGGCCCGCGUUGGAUUAGGUAGUUGGUGGGGUAAUGGCCUACCAAGCCGACGAUCCAUAGCUGGUUUGAGAGGAUGAUCAGCCACACUGGGACUGAGACACGGCCCAGACUCCUACGGGAGGCAGCAGUGGGGAAUCUUAGACAAUGGGCGCAAGCCUGAUCUAGCCAUGCCGCGUGAGUGAUGAAGGCCUUAGGGUUGUAAAGCUCUUUCAGAUGGGAAGAUAAUGACGGUACCAUCAGAAGAAGCCCCGGCUAACUCCGUGCCAGCAGCCGCGGUAAAGUACAGUGU